This 2645-nucleotide long non-coding RNA is filed under the name Homo sapiens (human). Its description in RNAcentral is "HSALNT0029363". Lineage: Eukaryota; Metazoa; Chordata; Mammalia; Primates; Hominidae. The record is from RNAcentral.
CCUCCUCCUCCUCGGCACCGCCCAGCUCCGCAAAGCUCACCAGCGCCGCCGACGGCCCCACCCGCAGCGCCACUCACUCCGCACGUCCCUUGCGCGCCGCCGCGUCACGCAGCUCUCCGCGCAGGCGCGCGGUGCGCUCCCCGCCGAGGCUCCCCUCGACGCCUGGGCCGCCGCGCAACCGCACUGGAGCGGCUUCUCCCGCUGCCGUCUUCGCGCAGGGUUGAGUUUGUGCAUCGAUUGUGAACACAACAGGCAGCAGGCUAUAAUGGUGGUCCUGGCUGGAGUAGUUUUCACAGACUUCAGUAAUCUGUGGAGAUGAACGGGCAGUUCUCUGUAGUUUUCACAGAUCACUGCCAGUUCGUUUUGAGGCCUUCAGGAGUGAAGACCUGGCUCAUCAUCACUCUUUGUUGUUUUGUUAAAUUUAUUUACACCCUACUUUAUUCCAGAGGAAAGGAUUUAACGUAGUUUACAUAAAUGUGUACAUCAGGGUAAAUUAAAAAUAAGUACAGAGAAAAAUAGGACAAAAGAAAACCGUGAGUGUGAAAGAUAAGAUUAAGCCAGCAGUUUUGUAUGCAAAAUGCAUGGUGUAAGGUCCUAUUGGUUUGCUGGAGGUAGGCCACACAUAUGACUCUCAGUUUUCUAGCAACCAAGAAAAAGAUCAGUUGCAAUCGGAGUAGGUGUUUUGGCUAAGCUGGAACUAGGACUUGAAUAUAGCAGCUUGUAGAGUUAUACCACUUGCCCAAAUCUCUUCCAUGAGCCUCUUUAAGUGUAACAGAAUGCCUGGGAGCACGUAAAUGCUCCUACUUAGAUGCCUACUUAGCCUCUAAUUUUCAUGGGGCCCAUGAAUCCCAUGAAAAAGAACUUUGAACCCUGUCCACAAUUAGAGUUCAGGUAUACGCAGACAUGUUUAAAGACAAGGGACACCCAAAGGAAAGAUUGCACAGAGAGAAAGUGAGCAUCCGAGAGAAAAUCACCACAAGUGAGGCAGAGGGAGGCCGGUCUCAGCAGAGUUUUGGAGGUCGUGAGAAGAAGAGGUAGGAGAUAGGAGAGUGGUUCCGAGUACUUGCCUGCUGAUGUUACCUUCUCCACCCCCACCAGGUUUUCCAGUGCCUGGAGUCUUGGGCAGGAAUGGGCCACUGUAAGAAAGAGCUUUAUCACUAGGGCCUCAGCCAACUUUUCUGUGGGAUAUCCCUCCAAAAUAAUUAAGAGUUCAGAAUGCUUCAGAUUUUGAAGUGAAACUGGUACAUAUAUUAAGUGUUACUUAAUAACCCGAUAGUUUCUAGGGCAGCUCACCAUAAUCCCAAGUAUUAGCCACCACCCUCACCCCCUUCAGAGUAAAAUGUGUUUCCUGAAGGAAGUUGGGAAAAUGAAGAAAAAAAAUACAAAAAUCACCUAUAAUCUUACCAGUCAUAGAUGGCAGUUUUCCUGUCUUAUUUCUGAAUAAUGGUUGUUAAACAUUUGCCAGCACACCAUAAGGCUUAGGGAGGCAUCUGGGUCAUGCAUGUUAAUAUCCUUGGGUAAUUCCAGAAAUCUCUAUGAAGGGAAACUCCUGUUAUUUAUCUAGACUUCCUGAUUGCAAGGGGUUUGGGCAUCAUGAUUUAGGGGUCUUAAUAAAAUUAUUAUUUUAUUUUUACUAAUAGAUAAUGUCUGUGCCUAUCAGAUAAAGGCAAACCAGUGCUCAGAGGAACCCAACCAUCUCUGAAUUGAGACCAGAGAGCUGUCUCUAUGGAUAGUCCUUAGAGAAGGCAUUUCGGAACACAGUAAACAGCAGCCUGGUGACUCCGAUUACAGGGCCAGUUGCCUUUGUUACAAUAAAAGCAAGUCAUCUACACAGAUUUUUCCUACCAGGAAGAGCAUGUGCUGACCAACAGACAUGAAUUUCAGCCUGGUAGUUACAACAUUCACAGGAGUUUCACUCGUUGCCCAGGCUGGAGUGCAACGGCGCGAUCUCAGCUCACUGCAACCUCCGCCUCCCCAGUUCAAGCGAUUCUCCUGCCUCAGCCUCCUGAGUCACUGGAAUUACGGGCGCCUGACACCACGCCCAGCUAAUUUUUUGUAUUUUUAGUAGACAUGGGGUUUCACUAUGUUGGCCAGGCUGGUCUCGAACUCCUGACCUCAUGAUCCUCCUGCCUCAGCCUCCCAAAGCACUGGGAUUACAGGUGUGAGCCACUGUGCCUGGUCCAUUAAAAACAUUUGUAAAGCUAUGGUGUUGAUAAAGUAUUAUGAAAGACUGCAAAAAAAGAUGGCUAAUUUUUAGUUAUUAUUGCACAUGUUUAGAGGAGCUAAUGACAUUUUCUAUGAUUAAUAAAAGACAUUAUUUAUGUUUUUAUUUAUGUAUUCCACAACAUUUAUUUUAUUUUCUCCAUUUCAGGAAAACCACUAUGUUGUUACAAUAAAGAUUUUCAUGUAAUUUGUGUUCAAUUGAUAGUAAUAAUGUAACAAGUUAAAAAUGAAGGUAAUUGUGUUUAAAAUUUGAGCAUAUUUUCAUCAAAAUGUAAGUUAAAGUGAUUGUAAAUUUUAAGAUCAUAAUUACUUUGUAUAUCUUCAAGAAAAUUAUUGUUUUAAAAUAUUUAUGCCUAUUAAAAUUAGAAGGCAAAAUAAAAAUAUAUGAAUACCAACAUUUUAAAUAAAAAUCAUUUAAAUAA